GGGAGUGAAAUAGAACCUGAAACCCUGCACUUACAAGCUGUGGAAGCACAUUUCUUGUGUGACCGCGUACUUUUUGUAGAACGGGCCAACGAGUUACGUUAAGUAGCAAGGUUAAGCACUUAAGGUGCGGAGCCGUAGCGAAAGCGAGUUUUAACUGAGCGUUCAGUUACUUGACGUAGACCCGAAACCGGGCGACCUACCCAUGAGCAGGAUGAAGCGAAAGUAAAAUUUCGUGGAGGUCCGAACCCACGAGCGUUGAAAAGCUCGGGGAUGACUUGUGGGUAGCGGUGAAAUUCCAAUCGAGCCCGGAGAUAGCUGGUUCUCCCCGAAAUAGCUUUAGGGCUAGCCUCAAGGUGAGAGAUACGGAGGUAGAGCACUGAAUGUCCUAGGGGGUAUUGCACCUACCGAAGACUAUCAAACUCCGAAUGCCGUCAUCUUAUACUUGGGAGUCAGACUGUGGGUGAUAAGAUUCAUAG
RNAcentral lists this ribosomal RNA (476 nucleotides) under Clostridioides difficile. RNAcentral describes it as "bacterial LSU rRNA". It matches the Rfam family "Bacterial large subunit ribosomal RNA", at positions 534 to 1010 of the family's 2925-position model. Lineage: Bacteria; Bacillati; Bacillota; Clostridia; Peptostreptococcales; Peptostreptococcaceae. The record is from RNAcentral.